Molecule: small RNA, 293 nt
Filed under: Arabidopsis thaliana (thale cress)
Lineage: Eukaryota; Viridiplantae; Streptophyta; Magnoliopsida; Brassicales; Brassicaceae
Description: ATSL124260
Source: RNAcentral
GUCCUUGAUUACUUUUUGUAGGUUCCAUUACGAAAAAGGAGCUCGGUACCAUGAUGCGUUCAAUCGGUGAAAAACCGACAAAAGCUGAUCUUCAGGACUUGAUGAACGAAGCGGAUUUAGAUGGUGAUGGAACCAUCGAUUUCCCUGAGUUCUUGUGCGUAAUGGCUAAGAAUCAAGGUCAUGAUCAAGCGCCGCGUCACACUAAAAAAACAAUGGCGGAUAAGCUCACUGACGAUCAGAUUACAGAGUACAGGGAAUCUUUCAGGUUAUUCGACAAGAAUGGUGAUGGUAUG